RNAcentral lists this ribosomal RNA (2927 nucleotides) under Salmonella enterica subsp. enterica serovar Schwarzengrund. RNAcentral's name for it is "23S ribosomal RNA". It matches the Rfam family "Bacterial large subunit ribosomal RNA". The record is from RNAcentral. Lineage: Bacteria; Pseudomonadati; Pseudomonadota; Gammaproteobacteria; Enterobacterales; Enterobacteriaceae.
GGGUUGUGAGGUUAAGCGACUAAGCGUACACGGUGGAUGCCCUGGCAGUCAGAGGCGAUGAAGGACGUGCUAAUCUGCGAUAAGCGCCGGUAAGGUGAUAUGAACCGUUAUAACCGGCGAUUUCCGAAUGGGGAAACCCAGUGUGACUCGUCACACUAUCAUUAACUGAAUCCAUAGGUUAAUGAGGCGAACCGGGGGAACUGAAACAUCUAAGUACCCCGAGGAAAAGAAAUCAACCGAGAUUCCCCCAGUAGCGGCGAGCGAACGGGGAGGAGCCCAGAGCCUGAAUCAGCAUAUGUGUUAGUGGAAGCGUCUGGAAAGGCGCGCGAUACAGGGUGACAGCCCCGUACACAAAAGCGCAUGUGCUGUGAGCUCGAUGAGUAGGGCGGGACACGUGGUAUCCUGUCUGAAUAUGGGGGGACCAUCCUCCAAGGCUAAAUACUCCUGACUGACCGAUAGUGAACCAGUACCGUGAGGGAAAGGCGAAAAGAACCCCGGCGAGGGGAGUGAAAAAGAACCUGAAACCGUGUACGUACAAGCAGUGGGAGCACCCUUUGGGGUGUGACUGCGUACCUUUUGUAUAAUGGGUCAGCGACUUAUAUUCUGUAGCAAGGUUAACCGAAUAGGGGAGCCGGAGGGAAACCGAGUCUUAAUUGGGCGUUAAGUUGCAGGGUAUAGACCCGAAACCCGGUGAUCUAGCCAUGGGCAGGUUGAAGGUUGGGUAACACUAACUGGAGGACCGAACCGACUAAUGUUGAAAAAUUAGCGGAUGACCUGUGGCUGGGGGUGAAAGGCCAAUCAAACCGGGAGAUAGCUGGUUCUCCCCGAAAGCUAUUUAGGUAGCGCCUCGUGAAUUCAUCUCCGGGGGUAGAGCACUGUUUCGGCUAGGGGGCCAUCCCGGCUUACCAACCCGAUGCAAACUGCGAAUACCGGAGAAUGUUAUCACGGGAGACACACGGCGGGUGCUAACGUCCGUCGUGAAGAGGGAAACAACCCAGACCGCCAGCUAAGGUCCCAAAGUCAUGGUUAAGUGGGAAACGAUGUGGGAAGGCCCAGACAGCCAGGAUGUUGGCUUAGAAGCAGCCAUCAUUUAAAGAAAGCGUAAUAGCUCACUGGUCGAGUCGGCCUGCGCGGAAGAUGUAACGGGGCUAAACCAUGCACCGAAGCUGCGGCAGCGACGCUGAUGCGUUGUUGGGUAGGGGAGCGUUCUGUAAGCCUGCGAAGGUGGCCUGUGAGGGUUGCUGGAGGUAUCAGAAGUGCGAAUGCUGACAUAAGUAACGAUAAAGCGGGUGAAAAGCCCGCUCGCCGGAAGACCAAGGGUUCCUGUCCAACGUUAAUCGGGGCAGGGUGAGUCGACCCCUAAGGCGAGGCCGAAAGGCGUAGUCGAUGGGAAACGGGUUAAUAUUCCCGUACUUGGUGUUACUGCGAAGGGGGGACGGAGAAGGCUAUGUUGGCCGGGCGACGGUUGUCCCGGUUUAAGCGUGUAGGUGUGUGUUCCAGGUAAAUCCGGUUCACUUUAACACUGAGGCGUGAUGACGAGGCACUACGGUGCUGAAGCAACAAAUGCCCUGCUUCCAGGAAAAGCCUCUAAGCAUCAGGUAACAUCAAAUCGUACCCCAAACCGACACAGGUGGUCAGGUAGAGAAUACCAAGGCGCUUGAGAGAACUCGGGUGAAGGAACUAGGCAAAAUGGUGCCGUAACUUCGGGAGAAGGCACGCUGACACGUAGGUGAAGUGAUUUACUCAUGGAGCUGAAGUCAGUCGAAGAUACCAGCUGGCUGCAACUGUUUAUUAAAAACACAGCACUGUGCAAACACGAAAGUGGACGUAUACGGUGUGACGCCUGCCCGGUGCCGGAAGGUUAAUUGAUGGGGUCAGCGCAAGCGAAGCUCCUGAUCGAAGCCCCGGUAAACGGCGGCCGUAACUAUAACGGUCCUAAGGUAGCGAAAUUCCUUGUCGGGUAAGUUCCGACCUGCACGAAUGGCGUAAUGAUGGCCAGGCUGUCUCCACCCGAGACUCAGUGAAAUUGAACUCGCUGUGAAGAUGCAGUGUACCCGCGGCAAGACGGAAAGACCCCGUGAACCUUUACUAUAGCUUGACACUGAACAUUGAGCCUUGAUGUGUAGGAUAGGUGGGAGGCUUUGAAGUGUGGACGCCAGUCUGCAUGGAGCCGACCUUGAAAUACCACCCUUUAAUGUUUGAUGUUCUAACGUGGACCCGUGAUCCGGGUUGCGGACAGUGUCUGGUGGGUAGUUUGACUGGGGCGGUCUCCUCCUAAAGAGUAACGGAGGAGCACGAAGGUUGGCUAAUCCUGGUCGGACAUCAGGAGGUUAGUGCAAUGGCAUAAGCCAGCUUGACUGCGAGCGUGACGGCGCGAGCAGGUGCGAAAGCAGGUCAUAGUGAUCCGGUGGUUCUGAAUGGAAGGGCCAUCGCUCAACGGAUAAAAGGUACUCCGGGGAUAACAGGCUGAUACCGCCCAAGAGUUCAUAUCGACGGCGGUGUUUGGCACCUCGAUGUCGGCUCAUCACAUCCUGGGGCUGAAGUAGGUCCCAAGGGUAUGGCUGUUCGCCAUUUAAAGUGGUACGCGAGCUGGGUUUAGAACGUCGUGAGACAGUUCGGUCCCUAUCUGCCGUGGGCGCUGGAGAACUGAGGGGGGCUGCUCCUAGUACGAGAGGACCGGAGUGGACGCAUCACUGGUGUUCGGGUUGUCAUGCCAAUGGCACUGCCCGGUAGCUAAAUGCGGAAGAGAUAAGUGCUGAAAGCAUCUAAGCACGAAACUUGCCCCGAGAUGAGUUCUCCCUGAGACUUAGAGUCUCCUGAAGGAACGUUGAAGACGACGACGUUGAUAGGCCGGGUGUGUAAGCGCAGCGAUGCGUUGAGCUAACCGGUACUAAUGAACCGUGAGGCUUAACCUUACAACGCCGAAG